This 138-nucleotide ribosomal RNA is filed under the name uncultured bacterium. RNAcentral describes it as "partial 16S ribosomal RNA". It matches the Rfam family "Bacterial small subunit ribosomal RNA", at positions 355 to 509 of the family's 1533-position model. The record is from RNAcentral.
UGGGGAAUAUUGCACAAUGGGGGAAACCUUGAUGCAGCGACGCCGCGUGAGCGAAGAAGUAUUUCGGUAUGUAAAGCUCUAUCAGCAGGGAAGAAAAUGACGGUACCUGACUAAGUAAGCCCCGGCUAACUACGUGCC